GACGAACGCUGGCGGCGUGCUUAACACAUGCAAGUCGAACGGAAAGGCCCUGCUUUUGUGGGGUGCUCGAGUGGCGAACGGGUGAGUAACACGUGAGUAACCUGCCCUUGACUUUGGGAUAACUUCAGGAAACUGGGGCUAAUACCGGAUAGGAGCUCCUGCUGCAUGGUGGGGGUUGGAAAGUUUCGGCGGUUGGGGAUGGACUCGCGGCUUAUCAGCUUGUUGGUGGGGUAGUGGCUUACCAAGGCUUUGACGGGUAGCCGGCCUGAGAGGGUGACCGGCAACAUGGGGACUGAGAUACGGCCCAGACCCCCACGGGGGGAAGGGGUGGGGAAUAUUGCACAAGGGGGGGAAGCCUGAGGCAGCAACGCCGGGUGGGGGAGGACGGCCUUGGGGUUGAAAACCGCUUUCCCCUGUGACGAAGGGUGGGUGGCGGUAAUGGGUAAAGAAGCACCGGCUAACUACGU
This 467-nucleotide ribosomal RNA is filed under the name uncultured bacterium. Its description in RNAcentral is "partial 16S ribosomal RNA". It matches the Rfam family "Bacterial small subunit ribosomal RNA", at positions 28 to 506 of the family's 1533-position model. The record is from RNAcentral.